UUCGCCCUUUUCGGUUGAUCCUGCCGGACCCGACUGCUAUUUGGGUGAGAAUAAGCCAUGCGAGUUGAAUGGAACACCUAAUCGUUCCAUAGCAAACUGCUCAGUAACACAUGAUCAACUUACCCUACAGAGAAAAAUAACCUCGGGAAACUGAGGAUAAUGUUUCAUAAUUGAAAAGGCUUGGAAAAGUUUUUCAAUAAAAGGAAUGAGAAAAAUGGUUCUCAUUUGCUGUAGGAUAGGAUCGUGCUCGAUUAGGGCUGUUGGUGAGGUAACGGCUCACCAAACCGAUAAUCGAUAGGGGCCGUGAGAGCGGGAGCCCCGAGAUGGGUACUGAGACAACGACCCAGACCUUACGAGGUGCAGCAGGCGCGGGACCUCCGCAAUACACGAAAGUGUGACGGGGUUACCCAAAGUGUUCUAAGAACUGUGGUAGGUGAGUAAUGUUCCCUACUAGAAAGGAGAGGGCAAGGCUGGUGCCAGCCGCCGCGGUAAAACCAGCUCUUCAAGUGGUCGGGAUGAUUAUUGGGCUUAAAGUGUCCGUAGCCGGUUUAGUAAGUUCUUGGUAAAAUCAGGUAGCUUAACUAUCUGUAUGCUAAGAAUACUGCUUUACUAGAGGGUGGGAGAGGUCUGAGGUACUAUAGGGGUAGGGGUGAAAUCUUAUAAUCCUUGUAGGACCACCAGUGGCGAAGGCGUCAGACUGGAACACGCCUGACGGUGAGGGACGAAAGCCAGGGGAGCGAACCGGAUUAGAUACCCGGGUAGUCCUGGGCGUAAACGAUGCAUAUUAGGUGAUGGUACGGCUAUGAGCCGUAUCAGUGCCGUAGGGA
Molecule: ribosomal RNA, 827 nt
Filed under: uncultured archaeon
Lineage: Archaea
Description: bacterial SSU rRNA
Rfam family: Archaeal small subunit ribosomal RNA
Source: RNAcentral